This 465-nucleotide ribosomal RNA is filed under the name uncultured bacterium. RNAcentral's name for it is "partial 16S ribosomal RNA". It matches the Rfam family "Bacterial small subunit ribosomal RNA", at positions 28 to 507 of the family's 1533-position model. The record is from RNAcentral.
GACGAACGCUGGCGGCGUGCUUAACACAUGCAAGUCGAACGGAAAGGCCCCUUUGGGGGUACUCGAGUGGCGAACGGGUGUGUAACACGUGAGUAACCUGCCCUUGACUUCGGGAUAACUUCAGGAAACUGGGGCUAAUACCGGAUAGGAAUCCUUGCUGCAUGGUGGGGGUUGGAAAGCUUCGGCGGUUUUGGAUGGACUCGCGGCUUAUCAGCUUGUUGGUGGGGUAGUGGCUUACCAAGGCUUUGACGGGUAGCCGGCCUGAGAGGGCGACCGGCCACAUUGGGUCUGAGAGACGGCCCAGACUCCGACGGGAGGCAGCAGUGGGGAAUAUUGCACAAUGGGCGGAAGCCUGAUGCAGCAACGCCGCGUGCUGGAUGACGGCCUUCGGGUUGUAAACCGCUUUCAGCAGGGGCGAAGCUUGUGGUGACGUUACCUGCAGAAGAAGCACCGGCUAACUACGUG